Molecule: long non-coding RNA, 1462 nt
Organism: Helianthus annuus (common sunflower)
Lineage: Eukaryota; Viridiplantae; Streptophyta; Magnoliopsida; Asterales; Asteraceae
Exons: 7
Source: RefSeq, a predicted model, not a curated record
CUCAACUUUACCUUCUUCUCUCUUCCUUUAGAACAUACAAUCGGUUAUCUUCUCACCAACUUUACAAAAAUUAGGUCAACAUCAAAGAUCCGAUCAUAAAUCUUGAAGUUCCGUCAUAACAAUCGGAAUACCACCAUUGGUCAAUCAACAGAGUUAUGGUUCAAUCAACUCUUCAACUUCUCUCCAAUCUUCUUCCAAGAAUACCAUCGGUUUCCAUAUAACAAUGAAUUUCUUUAGUGGAUCUACAUAUAUAGAUGGUUUUACAUUCUUGACCGUCUUCAUCUACAUCUACUCUUUAUUGAAUCGAUUCCUGAAUUUCACAUAUCGCUCUACAUACUGUAUUUCAUAUGGCUGAAAGUUCUUCAAGUUUCAGAGGACCCUGCUUCUGUAGGCACAUGAAUGUAGCAGACGAAGUUAUUCUGAACAUAGCACAAUAUCGGAUAUCUGCUAUAAACAAAUAAUGAGGUGUCUUGAAGGCACUGCGUAAAACUAGUAGUGAGAAGAGCCGAAGAUAGAUUAGAAAACCAAGCACAAGGAGCCUGCUUUAAGCCAUAAAGAGCCUUCUGCACGAACAAAAAUGAUGAGAUCUAGAUUGGUUAACAAAGCCUGGUGGCUGAGACAGUCUCAGAUAACUCUCCAAGAAGAAAGACAUUGUUGACAUCAACCUGUCGAAUAGCCCUUCCUCGAGAAAACGCAAUUGAUAAGCAAGACGAAUAGUAGCGGGUUUAAUCACAUGACUAAAAGUCUCAGUGUAGUCCAUACCUUCAGUUUGAUAAAAGCCAUUGGCAACAAGUUGGGCUUGGUAUCGGCUAACAAAAUCAUCAGGAUUAUGCUUAAUCUGAUAGACCUACUUACAACCAACUUGUAUUUUCAUAGGUCUCCGGACGACAUAUAGGCAUGCGCAACAUAAAAGGUCUGGUUUGUCGACAUCAUAGCCACAACUUACACAAAUAAAAGAUUGUAAAUGUUGCCUUUGUAGGUCGCGUCGAUCAUCAGCACAUGCGGGAACGCCUGGCACAUAUCGAAGGACAACUUAUUAACAGAGAAAAUAUUCUUAGUGGCGUUUGUGGAUGGAUCCUGCAGCGUGUAAUAGGUGAAGUAUUUCUCGACAACCAGUUGUUCUAGUUUCUACAUGGGUGACGCUUUUUAUCGAACUUUCCGGCAUUAAUCUUCUGGUGAGCAUUGUGUAUAUCUUUUGGAACAUAUUUGUUAUUGGGGUUAUGUUCGAUUAUGGUUUUCUAAAUUUUACGUGUCUCCAUGUCUUGCGCUAACAAUUCUUCCAUGAAUCUAAACAUAUGAGAGAGUCUCCUGCCAUACGCGUAACCCUCUAGAUGUUGAGCAUGGUCAUAGUUAUUUUUUGGGUUCUACACAUCUAAUUGCUAAGUAUGACGUGUUAUGUCGAGAAGCCCUAUGUUUUGGGUUCUGCACAUCACACCUGACCUGACCCAACAAAUCAGAGAAA